GGACCUGAUGAUGAGAAUAUGCUAGUAAUCUCACAAUGGUCUUCUGAGAACUCUUUUGAUGUAAUAAAUAUUCUCUGAAGCCC
This 83-nucleotide small nucleolar RNA is filed under the name Setaria italica (foxtail millet). RNAcentral's name for it is "Small nucleolar RNA Z161/Z228". It matches the Rfam family "Small nucleolar RNA Z161/Z228". From Rfam's summary of the family: Z161 and Z228 are members of the C/D class of snoRNA which contain the C (UGAUGA) and D (CUGA) box motifs. Most of the members of the box C/D family function in directing site-specific 2'-O-methylation of substrate RNAs. The record is from Rfam by way of RNAcentral. Lineage: Eukaryota; Viridiplantae; Streptophyta; Magnoliopsida; Poales; Poaceae.